GGAGAGGCCAGCCGAUGGGUGGCGGCGACUGUUUCGAAAACAGUUUGCGCGUAUGCGCGUGCGGGUUCGACUCCCACUCUCUCCG
RNAcentral lists this transfer RNA (85 nucleotides) under Bifidobacterium platyrrhinorum. RNAcentral's name for it is "tRNA-Ser". It matches the Rfam family "tRNA". From Rfam's summary of the family: Transfer RNA (tRNA) molecules are approximately 80 nucleotides in length. Their secondary structure includes four short double-helical elements and three loops (D, anti-codon, and T loops). Lineage: Bacteria; Bacillati; Actinomycetota; Actinomycetes; Bifidobacteriales; Bifidobacteriaceae. The record is from RNAcentral.